AUAACGGUCCUAAGGUAGCGAAAUUCCUUGUCGGGUAAGUUCCGACCCGCACGAAUGGCGUAACGAUGGCCACACUGUCUCCUCCCGAGACUCAGCGAAGUUGAAGUGGUUGUGAAGAUGCAAUCUACCCGCUGCUAGACGGAAAGACCCCGUGAACCUUUACUGUAGCUUUGCAUUGGACUUUGAAGUCACUUGUGUAGGAUAGGUGGGAGGCUUUGAAGCAGAGACGCCAGUCUCUGUGGAGCCGUCCUUGAAAUACCACCCUGGUGUCUUUGAGGUUCUAACCCAGACCCGUAAUCCGGGUCGGGGACCGUGCAUGGUAGGCAGUUUGACUGGGGCGGUCUCCUCCCAAAGAGUAACGGAGGAGUUCGAAGGUUACCUAGGUCCGGUCGGAAAUCGGACUGAUAGUGCAAUGGCAAAAGGUAGCUUAACUGCGAGACCGACAAGUCGAGCAGGUGCGAAAGCAGGACAUAGUGAUCCGGUGGUUCCGUAUGGAAGGGCCAUCGCUCAACGGAUAAAAGGUACUCCGGGGAUAACAGGCUGAUUCCGCCCAAGAGUUCAUAUCGACGGCGGAGUUUGGCACCUCGAUGUCGGCUCAUCACAUCCUGGGGCUGUAGUCGGUCCCAAGGGUAUGGCUGUUCGCCAUUUAAAGUGGUACGUGAGCUGGGUUUAAAACGUCGUGAGACAGUUUGGUCCCUAUCUGCAGUGGGCGUUGGAAGUUUGACGGGGGCUGCUCCUAGUACGAGAGGACCGGAGUGGACGAACCUCUGGUGUACCGGUUGUAACGCCAGUUGCAUAGCCGGGUAGCUAAGUUCGGAAGAGAUAAGCGCUGAAAGCAUCUAAGCGCGAAACUCGCCUGAAGAUGAGACUUCCCUUGUGGUUUAACCACACUAAAGAGUCGUUCGAGACCAGGACGUUGAUAGGUGGGGUGUGGAAGCGCGGUAACGUGUGAAGCUAACCCAUACUAAUUGCUCGUGAGGCUUGACUCU
RNAcentral lists this ribosomal RNA (989 nucleotides) under human gut metagenome. RNAcentral's name for it is "bacterial LSU rRNA". It matches the Rfam family "Bacterial large subunit ribosomal RNA", at positions 1942 to 2925 of the family's 2925-position model. The record is from RNAcentral.